GUUUUUCUCUCCGCAUCCCCCAUGCCCUGGGACUAACAUGAGGCACACCCUUAACAGAAACUUUCAGCAGAGCACAAGAGCCAUGACCCAGUGGUUCUGCAGUUCACAUCGUCACCCCAGGAGCCUCAGAUGGAGGACCCAGGAACAUACCAGGAGAUGCUUCUGACAGGGCAUGUAAUGCUCUGCUGCAGUUGGCAUGGCCUUCCUCCAUAACUUCAGGGACUUCUACCAUGAUUCUCCCACUGGAUCUUGCCAUAAGCUCCACACUGUAUCUUACCUUGCCCCUGACAUCUCGACCAUCAUAGGGCCUGGCAGAUCCUAUCACUCAGACAGCGGGACUGAUUGCU
RNAcentral lists this long non-coding RNA (347 nucleotides) under Equus asinus (donkey). RNAcentral's name for it is "lncRNA (ENSEASG00005025330.1)". Lineage: Eukaryota; Metazoa; Chordata; Mammalia; Perissodactyla; Equidae. The record is from RNAcentral.